This 388-nucleotide ribosomal RNA is filed under the name uncultured bacterium. Its description in RNAcentral is "bacterial SSU rRNA". It matches the Rfam family "Bacterial small subunit ribosomal RNA", at positions 28 to 416 of the family's 1533-position model. The record is from RNAcentral.
GACGAACGCUGGCGGCGUGCUUAACACAUGCAAGUCGAGCGGUAAGGCCCUUUCGGGGGUACGACGAGCGGCGAACGGGUGAGUAACACGUGGGUGACCUGCCCUUAGCUCUGGGAUAAGCCUGGGAAACUGGGUCUAAUACCGGAUAUGACCUCAUGACUCAUGUUGUGGGGUGGAAAGCCUUGUGCGGCUAGGGAUGGGCCCGCGGUCUAUCAGCUUGUUGGUGGGGUAAUUGCCUACCAAGGCGACGACGGGUAGCCGGCCUGAGAGGGCGACCGGCCACACUGGGACUGAGACACGGCCCAGACUCCUACGGGAGGCAGCAGUGGGGAAUCUUGCGCAAUGGGCGAAAGCCUGACGCAGCGACGCCGCGUGAGGGAUGACGGCC